Molecule: small RNA, 125 nt
Filed under: Marmota monax (woodchuck)
Lineage: Eukaryota; Metazoa; Chordata; Mammalia; Rodentia; Sciuridae
Source: RNAcentral
GCUGGGCACGGUGGCACAUGCCUGUAAUCCCAGUGGCUCAGGAGGCUGAGGCAAGAGAAUCAUGAGUUCAAAGCCAGCCUCAGCAAAAGUGAGGCACUAAGGAACUCAGUGAGACCUUGUCUCUA